GCCAGACUCCUACGGGAGGCAGCAGUGAGGAAUAUUGGUCAAUGGUCGGGAGACUGAACCAGCCAAGCCGCGUGAGGGAGGAAGGUACAGAGUAUCGUAAACCUCUUUUGUCAGGGAACAAAGGCGGGGACGUGUCCCCGGAUGAGUGUACCUGAAGAAAAAGCAUCGGCUAACUCCGUGCUAGCAGCCGCGGUAAUACGGAGGAUGCGAGCGUUAUCCGGAUUUAUUGGGUUUAAAGGGUGCGCAGGCGGUCUGUUAAGUCAGCGGUCAAAGCCCGGGGCUCAACCCCGUCCGGCCGUUGAAACUGGGGGCCUUGAGUGGGCGAGAAGAAGGCGGAAUGCGUGGUGUAGCGGUGAAAUGCAUAGAUAUCACGCAGAACCCCGAUUGCGAAGGCAGCCUUCCGGCGCCCUACUGACGCUGAGGCACGAAAGCGUGGGUAUCGAACAGGAUUAGAUACCCGAGUACAG
Molecule: ribosomal RNA, 467 nt
Filed under: uncultured bacterium
Lineage: Bacteria
Description: bacterial SSU rRNA
Rfam family: Bacterial small subunit ribosomal RNA
Source: RNAcentral